Molecule: long non-coding RNA, 403 nt
Organism: Mytilus trossulus (common blue mussel)
Lineage: Eukaryota; Metazoa; Mollusca; Bivalvia; Mytilida; Mytilidae
Exons: 4
Source: RefSeq, a predicted model, not a curated record
GUCACAUGUUCUUUUUGGAGGGAAAAUUCUAUUGUUCUGGACACUCUUAUUUCAACUGUCAUAGUGAGAAGAUAGAUUUCACAAUUUUGGAGUGUGCAAAUGGUCUUAUAUGAAUUAUUGUAUAGUUAUUGCUGAAUCUUUUGGGAAUUCAUAUUACUACUUUACAGGUUAAUAUUUGAUGUACAUGUAGCCAAUACACAUAUGAAGUCUUGUGACCUUCAAACUAGCACUUGAGGUUUGAUUACUACAGAAUUUAGAAACAAGAAGGAUAAAGUAUUCACAUCAAUACAGUUUCAACUACAGAUACAUUAAUUUAAUAAAAGGCGCUUCUAUGCAGAAAAUGAGAAGCAGAACAGCAUCAGUAUCCUGCACCCAAUGUGUUGACACAUAUGAUUGAUGAGGU